AUUGAACGCUGGCGGCAUGCUUUACACAUGCAAGUCGAACGGUAACAGGCCUUCGGGUGCUGACGAGUGGCGAACGGGUGAGUAAUGCAUCGGAACGUGCCCAGAGGUGGGGGAUAACGCAGCGAAAGCUGUGCUAAUACCGCAUGUGAUCUGAGGAUGAAAGCGGGGGACCAGGCAGCAAUGUUUGGCCUCGCGCCUUUGGAGCGGCCGAUGUCAGAUUAGGUAGUUGGUGGGGUAAAGGCCUACCAAGCCGACGAUCUGUAGCUGGUCUGAGAGGACGACCGGCGACACGGGGACUGAGCCACGGCCCAGACUCCUACGGGAGGCAGCAGUGGGGAAUUUUGGACAAUGGGCGCAAGCCUGAUCCAGCAAUGCCGCGUGCGGGAAGAAGGCCUUCGGGUUGUAAACCGCUUUUGUACGGAACGAAAAGGCUCUGGCUAAUACCUGGGGCUGAUGACGGUACCGUAAGAAUAAGCACCGGCUAACUACGUG
Molecule: ribosomal RNA, 492 nt
Filed under: uncultured bacterium
Lineage: Bacteria
Description: partial 16S ribosomal RNA
Rfam family: Bacterial small subunit ribosomal RNA
Source: RNAcentral